UAGGGAAUAUUGGACAAUGGGCGAAAGCCUGAUCCAGCCAUGCCGCGUGAGUGACGAAGGCCUUCGGGUUGUAAAGCUCUUUUGGCGGGGACGAUAAUGACGGUACCCGCAGAAUAAGCUCCGGCUAACUUCGUGCCAGCAGCCGCGGUAAUACGAAGGGAGCUAGCGUUGUUCGGAAUCACUGGGCGUAAAGCGCACGUAGGCGGAUGUGUCAGUCAGGGGUGAAAUCCCGGAGCUCAACUUCGGAACUGCCUUUGAUACAGCACAUCUGGAGUCCGGAAGAGGUGGGUGGAAUUCCUAGUGUAGAGGUGAAAUUCGUAGAUAUUAGGAAGAACACCGGUGGCGAAGGCGGCCCACUGGUCCGGUACUGACGCUGAGGUGCGAAAGCGUGGGGAGCAAACA
RNAcentral lists this ribosomal RNA (402 nucleotides) under uncultured bacterium. Its description in RNAcentral is "bacterial SSU rRNA". It matches the Rfam family "Bacterial small subunit ribosomal RNA", at positions 355 to 774 of the family's 1533-position model. The record is from RNAcentral.